GCAAGAGUCAUCAUUCCAUGUGAGAUGCCCAUCAAAUCAACAGAUCUAAAGGAGCUGGUAUCAAGCACACAUAACAGUAGCUCACAACACCUUGCUUAGCCACACCCCCACGGGAUACAGCAGUAAUCAAAAUUAAGCUAUAAACGAAAGUUCGACUAAGUCAUGCAAUUUCUUAUAGGGUUGGUAAAUCUCGUGCCAGCCACCGCGGUCAUACGAUUAACCCUGAUUAAUAAACCCCGGCGUAAAGAGUAUUAAAGAUACAAUAAAAAUAAGAUUAAAUUUCAUCUGGGUCGUAAAAAACUAUAGAUAAAAAUAAAAUCGAUAACGAAGGUAAUCUUAAUAUAUCAGAAUAUACUAAAGCUAAGACACAAACUGGGAUUAGAUACCCCACUAUGCUUAGUUGUAAACACAGAUUCUUAACAACAAAAAUAUCCGCCAGAGAAGUACUAGCAACAGCUUAAAACUCAAAGGACUUGGCGGUGCUUUAAACCCAUCUAGAGGAGCCUGUUCUAUAAUCGAUAAACCCCGAUAAACCUCACCACUUCUCGCUAAUUCAGUCUAUAUACCGCCAUCUUCAGCAAACCCCAACAGGGAUUAAAAGUAAGCACAACGAUCAUCAUAAAANGUUAGGUCAAGGUGUAGCCAAANAAGUGGAAAGAAAUGGGCUACAUUUUCUUUUUAAGAACAUCUAACAGUAAUCCUUAUGAAACUAAGGAUUUAAGGAGGAUUUAGUAGUAAAUUAAGAAUAGAGAGCUUGAUUG
RNAcentral lists this ribosomal RNA (761 nucleotides) under Myocastor coypus (nutria). RNAcentral describes it as "partial 12S rRNA". It matches the Rfam family "Bacterial small subunit ribosomal RNA", at positions 294 to 1364 of the family's 1533-position model. The record is from RNAcentral. Lineage: Eukaryota; Metazoa; Chordata; Mammalia; Rodentia; Myocastoridae.